This 267-nucleotide ribosomal RNA is filed under the name uncultured bacterium. Its description in RNAcentral is "partial 16S ribosomal RNA". It matches the Rfam family "Bacterial small subunit ribosomal RNA", at positions 793 to 1055 of the family's 1533-position model. The record is from RNAcentral.
GUCCUAGCCGUAAACGGUGCACAUUUGCUGUGAGAGGAUUCGACCCCUCUCGUGGCGUAGCCAACGCGUUAAAUGUGCCGCCUGGGAAGUACGGUCGCAAGAUUAAAACUCAAAGAAAUUGACGGGGGCCUGCACAAGCGGUGGAGUAUGUGGCUUAAUUCGAUGCAACGCGAAGAACCUUACCUGGCCUUGACAUGUAGAUAGUAGAAGCCCGAAAGGGUGACGAGGUAGCAAUACCAGUCUACACAGGUGCUGCAUGGCUGUCGU